AAGCACAUUUCAUUGUCCCAUUCUCUACCUGUGAGAGAUGAGAUAUUUCUGAUGUGCCAGAUCAAUGCUGGAGGUCAAUUAGCAGAGUGGCUGCAAAGUGCCAUUCCUGCCAGUCCCCUUCGUACAGCU
Molecule: small nucleolar RNA, 129 nt
Organism: Paramormyrops kingsleyae
Lineage: Eukaryota; Metazoa; Chordata; Actinopteri; Osteoglossiformes; Mormyridae
Source: Ensembl